GACGAACGCUGGCGGCGUGCUUAACACAUGCAAGUCGAACGGAAAGGCCCUGCGUUUGUGGGGUGCUCGUGUGGCGAACGGGUGAGUAACACGUGAGUAACCUGCCCUUGACUUUGGGGUAACUUCAGGAAACUGGGUCUAAUACCGGAUAGGAGCUCCUGCUGCAUGGUGUGGGUUGGAAAGAUUCGGCGGUUGGGGAUGGACUCGCGGCUUAUCAGCUUGUUGGUGGGGUAGUGGCGUACCAAGGCUUUGACGGGUAGCCGGCCUGGGAGGGUGACCGGCCACAUUGGGACUGAGAUACGGCGCAGACUCCUACGGGAGGCAGCAGUGGGGAAUAUUGCACAAUGGGCGGAAGCCUGAUGCAGCAACGCCGCGUGCGGGAUGACGGCCUUCGGGUUGUAAACCGCUUUCGCCUGUGACGAAGCGUGAGUGACGGUAAUGGGUAAAGAAGCACCGGCUAACUACGUG
Molecule: ribosomal RNA, 468 nt
Filed under: uncultured bacterium
Lineage: Bacteria
Description: partial 16S ribosomal RNA
Rfam family: Bacterial small subunit ribosomal RNA
Source: RNAcentral